GCUGGGUGUGGUGACGCAUGCCUGUAGUCCCAGCUACUCAGGAGGCUGAGGCAGAAGAAUCGCUUGAACCCAGGAGACGGAGGUUGCAGUAAGCCGAGAUCACACCACUACACUCCAGCCUGGGUGACAGAGCGAGACUCUGUCUCAA
This 148-nucleotide non-coding RNA is filed under the name Homo sapiens (human). The record is from Rfam by way of RNAcentral. Lineage: Eukaryota; Metazoa; Chordata; Mammalia; Primates; Hominidae.